CGGAUGCGAUCAUACCAGCACUAAAGCACCGGAUC
This 35-nucleotide ribosomal RNA is filed under the name Oryza sativa Japonica Group (Japanese rice). Lineage: Eukaryota; Viridiplantae; Streptophyta; Magnoliopsida; Poales; Poaceae. The record is from RNAcentral.